This 382-nucleotide ribosomal RNA is filed under the name uncultured bacterium. RNAcentral describes it as "bacterial SSU rRNA". It matches the Rfam family "Bacterial small subunit ribosomal RNA", at positions 29 to 440 of the family's 1533-position model. The record is from RNAcentral.
AACGAACGCUGGCGGCAGGCCUAGCACAUGCAAGUCGAACGCCCCGCAAGGGGAGUGGCAGACGGGUGAGUAACGCGUGGGAACGUACCCUUCGGUUCGGAAUAACCCGGGGAAACUCGGGCUAAUACCGGAUACGUCCGCAAGGAGAAAGAUUUAUCGCCGAAGGAUCGGCCCGCGUCGGAUUAGCUAGUUGGUGGGGUAAUGGCCCACCAAGGCGACGAUCCGUAGCUGGUCUGAGAGGAUGAUCAGCCACACUGGGACUGAGACACGGCCCAAACUCCUACGGGAGGCAGCAGUGGGGAAUAUUGGACAAUGGGCGAAAGCCUGAUCCAGCCAUGCCGCGUGAGUGAAGAAGGCCUUAGGGUUGUAAAGCUCUUUCAGC